RNAcentral lists this ribosomal RNA (469 nucleotides) under uncultured bacterium. RNAcentral describes it as "bacterial SSU rRNA". It matches the Rfam family "Bacterial small subunit ribosomal RNA", at positions 329 to 795 of the family's 1533-position model. The record is from RNAcentral.
UGCCAGACUCCUACGGGAGGCAGCAGUGAGGAAUAUUGGUCAAUGGACGAGAGUCUGAACCAGCCAAGUAGCGUGAAGGAUGACUGCCCUAUGGGUUGUAAACUUCUUUUAUAUGGGAAUAAAACAGGGUAUGCAUACCCUCUUGUAUGUACCAUAUGAAUAAGGAUCGGCUAACUCCGUGCCAGCGGCCGCGGUAAUACGGAGGAUCCGAGCGUUAUCCGGAUUUAUUGGGUUUAAAGGGAGCGUAGGCCGGCUUUUAAGUCAGCUGUGAAAGUCCGCGGCUCAACCGUGGAAUUGCAGUUGAAACUGGAGGCCUUGAGUGCACACAGGGAUGCCGGAAUUCAUGGUGUAGCGGUGAAAUGCUUAGAUAUCAUGAAGAACUCCGAUCGCGAAGGCAAGUGUCCGGGGUGCAACUGACGCUGAGGCUCGAAAGUGCGGGUAUCAAACAGGAUUAGAUACCCGCGUAAUC